CGCGCAGGCGGUCGUUCAAGUCGAGUGUGAAAGCCCCCGGCUCAACUGGGGAGGGUCACUCGAUACUGAUCGACUCGAAGGCAGGAGAGGGUAGUGGAAUUCCCGGUGUAGUGGUGAAAUGCGUAGAUAUUGGGAGGAACACCAGUGGCGAAGGCGACUACCUGGCCUGUUCUUGACGCUGAGGCGCGAAAGCUAGGGGAGCAAACG
Molecule: ribosomal RNA, 207 nt
Filed under: uncultured bacterium
Lineage: Bacteria
Description: partial 16S ribosomal RNA
Rfam family: Bacterial small subunit ribosomal RNA
Source: RNAcentral